This 744-nucleotide long non-coding RNA is filed under the name Gallus gallus (chicken). Lineage: Eukaryota; Metazoa; Chordata; Aves; Galliformes; Phasianidae. The record is from RNAcentral.
CGGGCAGCCCAACAGAACGUGGCUGUCAGCUCCCAGAGCUGUCUAGGGAGCUGAAGGGACCCUGAUUGGUGUGUCUCCAGACUUCAGAACUGUCUGGGUUUGAACCCAAACCGGCUGAGGUGAGGCAGUCACAAAUCCUGUAAUAAAACUGGUGAAGACAGAGUCUGAUGAUGUCAAAGUUAUCUGACCUUCUGCAAAUAUCCUCAUCUGUGCUGGAAAACUGUCUGAAAAGCAUUGCCCUGCAAAGAAUUAGUGCUUUACUGGGUGUGCUCUUGUAUUAAAUCUGGGCACAGCUUCACCUCUUUUUUCUGUCUCAGUGGAAGAAAUAACAGAUGUGCUGCUGUGCUGGAGACGUUUCCAGGCUGAACCCCUCCGCACCCCUCCCAACAUCAGUAUUCUGCUUGUUGUCCCCACCGGCCAGCAUGAACUGCCCUGAUGUCUUCUUGCUGUGAAUUCAUGCCUUCGUGAGGAAUAAAUACUCACGAGGCUUCCAAGAGGGACAUUCCCGAAGCCGGUGCUGUGCAGCAGGCUUAGCGUAUUUUGCCUUUCCUGGCUCAAGCACUCACAGGGCACUGUUCCCCUAUAGAAUCAUCUCUUAGCAUUGCCAGCCUCCACAAUUUUGCACAGAAAUGGGACCAGAAGUGCUGUGCCUGGACACGAGAAGAUCUCUUAGGACUGGCCUGUGUAAGAACCUUUAACAUCAGCUGCACCUCCUGGACUUGGAAUGAGCACAGCAGAUGUGUG